GAUGAAGAACGCAGCGAAAUGCGAUAAGUAAUGUGAAUUGCAGAAUUCAGUGAAUCAUCGAAUCUUUGAACGCACAUUGCGCCCGCCAGUAUUCUGGCGGGCAUGCCUGUUCGAGCGUCAUUACAACCCUCAGGCCCCCGGGCCUGGCGUUGGGGAUCGGCGGAAGCCCCCUGCGGGCACAACGCCGUCCCCCAAAUACAGUGGCGGUCCCGCCGCAGCUUCCAUUGCGUAGUAGCUAACACCUCGCAACUGGAGAGCGGCGCGGCCACGCCGUAAAACACCCAACUUCUGAAUGUUGACCUCGAAUCAGGUAGGAAUACCCGCUGAACUUAAGCAUAUCAGUAAGCGGAGGA
This 353-nucleotide unclassified non-coding RNA is filed under the name soil metagenome. RNAcentral describes it as "partial contains 5.8S ribosomal RNA, internal transcribed spacer 2, and large subunit ribosomal RNA". The stretch from base 1 to 120 matches the Rfam family "5.8S ribosomal RNA", at positions 35 to 154 of the family's 154-position model. The record is from RNAcentral.